GCAAACUUGGUCAUUUAGAGGAAGUAAAAGUCGUAACAAGGUUUCCGUAGGUGAACCUGCGGAAGGAUCAUUCAUAAGAAGAGUGUUUUAUGGCACUCCUAAAAAAAAUCCAUACCCACCUUGUGUGCAAUGUAAAAGGAAGAGUGUUGGAUAGGGACUUGUCUCUUGAAAGCCUCUUCUUUUCUUCAUACACUUUUUUUUUACAGUCUAUUGUCUGAAAACGUUAGAGAAUCUAAUUCUUAAACACAACUUUCAACAACGGAUCUCUUGGCUCUCGCAUCGAUGAAGAACGCAGC
RNAcentral lists this unclassified non-coding RNA (296 nucleotides) under uncultured fungus. RNAcentral's name for it is "partial contains small subunit ribosomal RNA, internal transcribed spacer 1, and 5.8S ribosomal RNA". The stretch from base 1 to 73 matches the Rfam family "Eukaryotic small subunit ribosomal RNA", at positions 1759 to 1831 of the family's 1831-position model. The record is from RNAcentral. Lineage: Eukaryota; Fungi.